Molecule: ribosomal RNA, 1346 nt
Filed under: uncultured bacterium
Lineage: Bacteria
Description: partial 16S ribosomal RNA
Rfam family: Bacterial small subunit ribosomal RNA
Source: RNAcentral
GACGCACUUUGGCGGCGUGCUUAACACAUGCAAGUCGAACGGAAAGGCCCUGCUUUUGUGGGGUGCUCGAGUGGCGAACGGGUGAGUAACACGUGAGUAACCUGCCCUUGACUUUGGGAUAACUUCAGGAAACUGGGGCUAAUACCGGAUAGGAGCUCCUGCUGCAUGGUGGGGGUUGGAAAGUUUCGGCGGUUGGGGAUGGACUCGCGGCUUAUCAGCUUGUUGGUGGGGUAGUGGCUUACCAAGGCUUUGACGGGUAGCCGGCCUGAGAGGGUGACCGGCCACAUUGGGACUGAGAUACGGCCCAGACUCCUACGGGAGGCAGCAGUGGGGAAUAUUGCACAAUGGGCGGAAGCCUGAUGCAGCAACGCCGCGUGCGGGAUGACGGCCUUCGGGUUGUAAACCGCUUUCGCCUGUGACGAAGCGUGAGUGACGGUAAUGGGUAAAGAAGCACCGGCUAACUACGUGCCAGCAGCCGCGGUGAUACGUAGGGUGCGAGCGUUGUCCGGAUUUAUUGGGCGUAAAGGGCUCGUAGGUGGUUGAUCGCGUCGGAAGUGUAAUCUUGGGGCUUAACCCUGAGCGUGCUUUCGAUACGGGUUGACUUGAGGAAGGUAGGGGAGAAUGGAAUUCCUGGUGGAGCGGUGGAAUGCGCAGAUAUCAGGAGGAACACCAGUGGCGAAGGCGGUUCUCUGGGCCUUUCCUGACGCUGAGGAGCGAAAGCGUGGGGAGCGAACAGGCUUAGAUACCCUGGUAGUCCACGCUGUAAACGGUGGGUACUAGGUGUGGGGUCCAUUCCACGGGUUCCGUGCCGUAGCUAACGCUUUAAGUACCCCGCCUGGGGAGUACGGCCGCAAGGCUAAAACUCAAAGGAAUUGACGGGGCCCCGCACAAGCGGCGGAGCAUGCGGAUUAAUUCGAUGCAACGCGUAGAACCUUACCUGGGUUUGACAUGGAUCGGGAGUGCUCAGAGAUGGGUGUGCCUCUUUUGGGGUCGGUUCACAGGUGGUGCAUGGCUGUCGUCAGCUCGUGUCGUGAGAUGUUGGGUUAAGUCCCGCAACGAGCGCAACCCUUGUUCACUGUUGCCAGCACGUUAUGGUGGGGACUCAGUGGAGACCGCCGGGGUCAACUCGGAGGAAGGUGGGGAUGACGUCAAGUCAUCAUGCCCCUUAUGUCCAGGGCUUCACGCAUGCUACAAUGGCUGGUACAGAGAGUGGCGAGCCUGUGAGGGUGAGCGAAUCUCGGAAAGCCGGUCUCAGUUCGGAUUGGGGCCUGCAACUCGACCUCAUGAAGUCGGAGUCGCUAGUAAUCGCAGAUCAGCAACGCUGCGGUGAAUACGUUCCCGGGGCU